This 904-nucleotide ribosomal RNA is filed under the name Macalpinomyces viridans. RNAcentral describes it as "LSU rRNA". It matches the Rfam family "Eukaryotic large subunit ribosomal RNA", at positions 67 to 953 of the family's 3401-position model. Lineage: Eukaryota; Fungi; Basidiomycota; Ustilaginomycetes; Ustilaginales; Ustilaginaceae. The record is from RNAcentral.
UACAAGGAUUCCCCUAGUAACGGCGAGUGAAGAGGGAAGAGCCCAAGAUUGAAAGCUGGCGUCUUCGGCGUCCGCAUUGUAAUCUCAAGAAGUGUUUUCCGCUUCGGACCAAGCCUAAGUCCCCUGGAAAGGGGCAUCAUAGAGGGUGAUAAUCCCGUACAUGGCUUGGAGCGCCCGUAGCUUUGUGAUACACUUUCUAAGAGUCGAGUUGUUUGGGAAUGCAGCUCAAAAUGGGUGGUAAAUGCCAUCUAAGGCUAAAUAUUGGGGAGAGACCGAUAGCGAACAAGUACAGUGAUGGAAAGAUGAAAAGAACUUUGAAAAGAGAGUUAAACAGUACGUGAAAUUGCCAAAAGGGAAGGGUAGGAGGUCAGAGAUGCGGCCUGGGAUUCAGCCUUGCUUUUGCUUGGUGUUUUUCCCAGAUUGCAGGCCAACGUCGGUUUUGGGCACUGGAGAAGGGUAGGAGGAAUGUGGCACCCCUCGGGGUGUGUUAUAGCCUCUUACUGGAUACAGCGACCGAGACCGAGGACAGCAGCGUACUCGCAAGAGCGGGCCUUCGGGCACCUUUACGCUUAGGGCGUUGGCAUAAUGGCCCUCUACCACCCGUCUUGAAACACGGACCAAGGAGUCUAACAUGUAUGCGAGUCUUUGGGUGGCAAACCCAUAGGCGCAAUGAAAGUGAAUUCAGGUGGGAUCCGCAAGGUGCACCAUCGACCGAUCCUCACGUCUUUUAAGUCGUGGAUUUGAGUAAGAGCAUACCUGUUGGGACCCGAAAGAUGGUGAACUAUGCCUGAAUAGGGUGAAGCCAGAGGAAACUCUGGUGGAGGCUCGUAGCGGUUCUGACGUGCAAAUCGAUCGUCAAAUUUGGGUAUAGGGGCGAAAGACUAAUCGAACCAUCUAGUAGCUG